Molecule: ribosomal RNA, 429 nt
Filed under: Verrucomicrobiota bacterium
Lineage: Bacteria; Pseudomonadati; Verrucomicrobiota
Description: Verrucomicrobia bacterium partial 16S ribosomal RNA
Rfam family: Bacterial small subunit ribosomal RNA
Source: RNAcentral
UGGGGAAUCUUCCGCAAUGGACGAAAGUCUGACGGAGCAACGCCGCGUGAGUGAAGAAGGUCUUCGGAUUGUAAAGCUCUGUUAUACGGGACGAAAAAGACGGAUGCCAACACUCCCUGUACGUGACGGUACCGUAAGAGAAAGCCACGGCUAACUACGUGCCAGCAGCCGCGGUAAUACGUAGGUGGCAAGCGUUGUCCGGAAUUAUUGGGCGUAAAGGGCGCGCAGGCGGUUCGGUAAGUCUGUCUUAAAAGUGCGGGGCUUAACCCCGUGAGGGGACGGAAACUGUCGAACUUGAGUGUCGGAGAGGAAAGCGGAAUUCCUAGUGUAGCGGUGAAAUGCGUAGAUAUUAGGAGGAACACCGGUGGCGAAAGCGGCUUUCUGGACGACAACUGACGCUGAGGCGCGAAAGCGUGGGGAGCAAACAGG